RNAcentral lists this transfer RNA (65 nucleotides) under Madachauliodes sp. RNAcentral's name for it is "tRNA-Ala". It matches the Rfam family "tRNA". Rfam says of the family: Transfer RNA (tRNA) molecules are approximately 80 nucleotides in length. Their secondary structure includes four short double-helical elements and three loops (D, anti-codon, and T loops). The record is from RNAcentral. Lineage: Eukaryota; Metazoa; Arthropoda; Insecta; Megaloptera; Corydalidae.
AGGAAUAUAGUUAAACAUAACAUUUGAUUUGCAUUCAAAAAGUAUUGAAUCCUCAAUUUUUCUUA